UACGUAGGGUGCAAGCGUUAUUCGGAAUUACUGGGCGUAAAGCGUGCGCAGGCGGCUUUGCAAGACAGAUGUGAAAUCCCCGGGCUUAACCUGGGAACUGCAUUUGUGACUGCAUGGCUGGAGUGCGGCAGAGGGGGAUGGAAUUCCGCGUGUAGCAGUGAAAUGCGUAGAUAUGCGGAGGAACACCGAUGGCGAAGGCAAUCCCCUGGGCCUGUACUGACGCUCAUGCACGAAAACGUGGGGAGCAAACAGG
Molecule: ribosomal RNA, 253 nt
Filed under: uncultured bacterium
Lineage: Bacteria
Description: partial 16S ribosomal RNA
Rfam family: Bacterial small subunit ribosomal RNA
Source: RNAcentral